Non-coding RNA from Triticum urartu, 872 nucleotides. The record is from RefSeq and is a predicted model, not a curated record. NCBI's taxonomy places the organism in Eukaryota, Viridiplantae, Streptophyta, Magnoliopsida, Poales, Poaceae.
CACCAGCCGCCGCCCCACCACCCCGCCGCCCCGCCGCCCCGCCGCCACACGACCCCGCCGCCGCCCCACCACCCCACCACACCGCCGCCGCCCACCACCCCACCACCCCGCCGCCCGCGGAGGCCCCCCCUUUCCCUAGCGUGUGUGCGGUCCCCCGCGGCGACCUCUCCACUCGCUGUCGCCGUCCGUCGGGGAGGGAGCGUGCGUGCGGUCCCCCGCGGCGACCUCUCCACUCGCCGUCGCCGUCCUCGGCCACUCGCCGUCCCGACCUCUCCACUCGCCUCCUCUGGCCAGCCAACCAUAGUGGCAUCGUUCCUCUGACACGCGGAGGGGCUCUCCUCUCCCACCGGUCGGCGCUUCGACUUCGACUCCUACAACCGCCCCUGUUUGCUCCCCACGCUCGUCCGCUCCGGAUCCAGAUCCACGGCCCCAUUCGCCAUUGCUUGCUUCUAGGGAGGGAUGUUGAACGGACAGAUUGAGGCCGUGCCGCCGUUCAGGACAGGCUGCUGGUGCUGGCCGUGGACGGGCUGCCGGUGGCAGCGCCGCUCAACGGCCGUCGCUGCUGUCCACUCGGCUCGGACAACUACACCGUUAUCCAGAUGACCUUAGCCCGCCCCGCCUCCACCUCCGCACUGGCCAUGACGCCGUGACGCCCCAGCCGCCUAGAUUUGCUUAAGAUCACGGAAGCUUGGGUUGAUGGAGUGCUUGUAUUUAGUUUUUGUUUUGACCUUGUGAAACUUGCUACCUAUGGAUGAAACUGUGUAAUAUUAAUGAAACUAUGUAUAUAUACGGAUGAAACUUGCUACUAUUGGUAACAUGUGUUGGAUAUAUAUAUGUGUUCAUGACUAUUGGUAAUAUGUGUUGAAUAUGCU